Molecule: ribosomal RNA, 484 nt
Filed under: uncultured bacterium
Lineage: Bacteria
Description: partial 16S ribosomal RNA
Rfam family: Bacterial small subunit ribosomal RNA
Source: RNAcentral
AUUGAACGCUGGCGGCAGGCCUAACACAUGCAAGUCGAGCGGAUGAAGGGAGCUUGCUCCUGGAUUCAGCGGCGGACGGGUGAGUAAUGCCUAGGAAUCUGCCUGGUAGUGGGGGAUAACGUCCGGAAACGGGCGCUAAUACCGCAUACGUCCUGAGGGAGAAAGUGGGGGAUCUUCGGACCUCACGCUAUCAGAUGAGCCUAGGUCGGAUUAGCUAGUUGGUGGGGUAAAGGCCUACCAAGGCGACGAUCCGUAACUGGUCUGAGAGGAUGAUCAGUCACACUGGAACUGAGACACGGUCCAGACUCCUACGGGAGGCAGCAGUGGGGAAUAUUGGACAAAGGGCGAAAGCCUGAUCCAGCCAUGCCGCGUGUGUGAAGAAGGUCUUCGGAUUGUAAAGCACUUUAAGUUGGGAGGAAGAGCAGUAAGUUAAUACCUUGCUGUUUUGACGUUACCAACAGAAUAAGCACCGGCUAACUUCGUG